CUUUACUGUAGCUUUGCAUUGGACUGUGAACCGAUCUGUGUAGGAUAGGUGGGAGGCUUUGAAGCCGGGACGCUAGUUCUGGUGGAGCCAACCUUGAAAUACCACCCUGGUUUGUUUGCGGUUCUAACCUUGACCCGUUAUCCGGGUUGGGGACAGUGCAUGGUAGGCAGUUUGACUGGGCGGUCUCCUCCCAAAGCGUAACGGAGGAGUUCGAAGGUACGCUUGGUACGGUCGGACAUCGUGCCUAAAGUGCAAGGGCAAAAGCGUGCUUAACUGCGAGACUGACAAGUCGAGCAGGUACGAAAGUAGGACCUAGUGAUCCGGUGGUUCUGAAUGGAAGGGCCAUCGCUCAACGGAUAAAAGGUA
Molecule: ribosomal RNA, 366 nt
Filed under: uncultured organism
Description: bacterial LSU rRNA
Rfam family: Bacterial large subunit ribosomal RNA
Source: RNAcentral